AAAGAUACUGCUUUUGGAUUUUGUUUAUAGCCAAACAUCAGGGAAAGGAGGCAACUGUUUGAUUUUCAAUGAGCUUAUGAAUGCAAGCCAACAUGUUCCUGAAUAUAUGUCCUGCAACCAGUGGACAUCUGAACAGACGAAGAAGGCAUAUGGGUGUGCAACACUGAAGAAAACAGAACAUUUUCAUAACAUCUCAGAGGAGUAAAAUGGUUUGAAGAAACAGAAACAUAAUCUGUCAAUGGAGUGGAGCCAGUGACCGCUGGAAGAGACCAUUGGUAGAGAAAAGAAUCUGGUAUAUAAAAAGAAAAAUAGAAUAAUCUCCUUUGAAAAGGGAUUUUGAGAAGCACAUGAGUCUGAGUCAGAGCCACAGAAGAAAUCCAUCUAAGACAAAACCAUAGCCACAUAUCAAAAGAUAUUUUUAUAUGUCUGAACAUCCAUUUUUACCAUCUCAGUUGCUGUAAUAAAUUGCAUUCCAGCAUUCUUACUUCCCUUUUC
RNAcentral lists this long non-coding RNA (495 nucleotides) under Sus scrofa (pig). Its description in RNAcentral is "lncRNA (ENSSSCG00070011330.1)". The record is from RNAcentral. Lineage: Eukaryota; Metazoa; Chordata; Mammalia; Artiodactyla; Suidae.